Molecule: unclassified non-coding RNA, 795 nt
Filed under: uncultured Prochlorococcus sp.
Lineage: Bacteria; Bacillati; Cyanobacteriota; Cyanophyceae; Synechococcales; Prochlorococcaceae
Description: partial 16S-23S ribosomal RNA intergenic spacer; may also contain 16S ribosomal RNA and 23S ribosomal RNA
Rfam family: tRNA (bases 349-421)
Source: RNAcentral
UUGUGGAGGAGGACGCCGAAGGUGGGGCUGAUGACUGGGGUGAAGUCGUAACAAGGUAGCCGUACCGAAGGUGCGGCUGGAUCACCUCCUAACAGGGAGACAUAAACUGAUUAUGAUGUCUGAUUUAUUAAUAUUAGGCCGUAUCCUGUCACCUUAGGUCGAUCGGUACCUCAAAUUAUUAACUGUGAGAUUGAGAAAUCAUUAGCACUAUUUAUUAAUUUCAGUUCCUAAACUUGUCUAGGUCACACCCAACAAACUUUCUCCUGGGCUAUUAGCUCAGGCGGUUAGAGCGCACCCCUGAUAAGGGUGAGGUCCCUGGUUCAAGUCCAGGAUGGCCCAUUCGUUGUUGGGGGUAUAGCUCAGUUGGUAGAGCGCCUGCUUUGCAAGCAGGAUGUCAGCGGUUCGAGUCCGCUUACCUCCACUGAUCAACUACCUGAUAACACAGUUUGGAGAUUGUGAUUUGUUUAAUGUGAUUUAGAUGUUGUUCAACUGAAGGAACCUAGCUUCCUGUCGCUCCUGAAUAAUUCAGGCUGAUAAGACGCUGGGCUCACUGACUAUUCUUCGGAAUAUUCAGUUUAUUCAGCAGAACCUUGACAACUGCAUAGGAAAAUCUAGAAAAAUAAAGCAUCUCAUAGAUGCAUAGAACUCUAUUUUCAUUUUUUAUGAUUUAGAUUUCUAUGUUCAAUUCUUGAGUUAGAGCAAAUUAUCUAUUACUUAAAUUUCGCUUAGAAAUAAUUUUAAGUGUUUUGCUAAUUAACUUUAGCUAAGUUCAAUAGAUUAAUGGUCAAGCUACAA